This 497-nucleotide ribosomal RNA is filed under the name uncultured bacterium. Its description in RNAcentral is "partial 16S ribosomal RNA". It matches the Rfam family "Bacterial small subunit ribosomal RNA", at positions 28 to 507 of the family's 1533-position model. The record is from RNAcentral.
GAUGAACGCUGGCGGCGUGCCUAAUACAUGCAAGUCGAGCGAACAGACGAGGAGCUUGCUCCUCUGACGUUAGCGGCGGACGGGUGAGUAACACGUGGAUAACCUACCUAUAAGACUGGGAUAACUUCGGGAAACCGGAGCUAAUACCGGAUAAUAUAUUGAACCGCAUGGUUCAAUAGUGAAAGACGGUUUUGCUGUCACUUAUAGAUGGAUCCGCGCCGCAUUAGCUAGGUGGUAAGGUAACGGCUUACCAAGGCAACGAUGCGUAGCCGACCUAAGAGGGUGAUCGGCCACACUGGAACUGAGACACGGUCCAGACUCCUACGGGAGGCAGCAGUAGGGAAUCUUCCGCAAUGGGCGAAAGCUUGACGGAGCAACGCCGCGUGAGUGAUGAAGAUCUUCGGAUCGUAAAACUCUGUUAUUAGGGAAGAACAAAUGUGUAAGUAACUAUGCACGUAUUGACGGUACCUAAUCAGAAAGCCACGGCUAACUACGUG